This 670-nucleotide ribosomal RNA is filed under the name Streptomyces sp. Sp080513KE-25. Its description in RNAcentral is "bacterial SSU rRNA". It matches the Rfam family "Bacterial small subunit ribosomal RNA", at positions 54 to 741 of the family's 1533-position model. The record is from RNAcentral. Lineage: Bacteria; Bacillati; Actinomycetota; Actinomycetes; Kitasatosporales; Streptomycetaceae.
CAUGCAAGUCGAACGAUGAAGCCCUUCGGGGUGGAUUAGUGGCGAACGGGUGAGUAACACGUGGGCAAUCUGCCCUUCACUCUGGGACAAGCCCUGGAAACGGGGUCUAAUACCGGAUAAUACCUGCCUGGGCAUCUGGGUGGGUUAAAAGCUCCGGCGGUGAAGGAUGAGCCCGCGGCCUAUCAGCUUGUUGGUGAGGUAGUGGCUCACCAAGGCGACGACGGGUAGCCGGCCUGAGAGGGCGACCGGCCACACUGGGACUGAGACACGGCCCAGACUCCUACGGGAGGCAGCAGUGGGGAAUAUUGCACAAUGGGCGAAAGCCUGAUGCAGCGACGCCGCGUGAGGGAUGACGGCCUUCGGGUUGUAAACCUCUUUCAGCAGGGAAGAAGCGAGAGUGACGGUACCUGCAGAAGAAGCGCCGGCUAACUACGUGCCAGCAGCCGCGGUAAUACGUAGGGCGCAAGCGUUGUCCGGAAUUAUUGGGCGUAAAGAGCUCGUAGGCGGCUUGUCACGUCGGGUGUGAAAGCCCGGGGCUUAACCCCGGGUCUGCAUUCGAUACGGGCUAGCUAGAGUGUGGUAGGGGAGAUCGGAAUUCCUGGUGUAGCGGUGAAAUGCGCAGAUAUCAGGAGGAACACCGGUGGCGAAGGCGGAUCUCUGGGCCAUUACU